CAGCCGUAAACUAUGCGCGUUAGGUGUAUCGGUGACCACGAGUUACCGAGGUGCCGAAGGGAAACCGUGAAACGUGCCGCCUGGGAAGUACGGUCGCAAGGCUGAAACUUAAAGGAAUUGGCGGGGGAGCACCACAACAGGUGGAGCCUGCGGUUUAAUUGGACUCAACGCUGGGAAGCUCACCGGAUAGGACAGCAGAAUGAUUGCCGGGCUGAAGACCCUGCAUGACUAGCUGAGAGGUGGUGCAUGGCGUCAGUGACU
RNAcentral lists this ribosomal RNA (261 nucleotides) under uncultured archaeon. RNAcentral's name for it is "partial 16S ribosomal RNA". It matches the Rfam family "Archaeal small subunit ribosomal RNA", at positions 748 to 1008 of the family's 1478-position model. The record is from RNAcentral.